AUUGAACGCUGGCGGCAGGCCUAACACAUGCAAGUCGAGCGAGCGGCGGACGGGUGAGUAAUGUGUGGGAAACUGCCUGCUGGAGGGGGAUAACUACUGGAAACGGUAGCUAAUACCGCAUACCAUCAGAUGUGCCCAGAUGGGAUUAGCUAGUGGGGGGGGUAACGGCUCACCUAGGCGACGAUCCCUAGCUGGUCUGCGGGGAUGACCAGCAACACGGGAACUGAGACACGGCCCAGACCCCUAGGGGAGGCAGCAGUGGGGAAUAUUGGACAAGGGGGGAAAGCUUGAGGCGGCCAGGCCGCGUGUGUGAAGAAGGCCUUGGGGUUGUAAGGCACUUUCAGCGGGGAGGCGUUACCCGAAGAAGAAGCACCGGCUAACUCCGUGCCAGCAGCCGCGGUAAUUC
Molecule: ribosomal RNA, 406 nt
Filed under: uncultured bacterium
Lineage: Bacteria
Description: partial 16S ribosomal RNA
Rfam family: Bacterial small subunit ribosomal RNA
Source: RNAcentral